CGUUUGCCCCCUCCAGCGGCAGGAUGUGAGCCACCGGCAAGGAGGGACGCCAAUAAGGCGUCCGAUAAGCUCCUGCCUUUAGGAUCCUGCCUUGAGUUCCUGCCCUGGCUUCCUUCCAUGAUAGACUGUGAUAAUAGAUAUACAAAGAAAAGAGUCCACAUGGUGGUGUGAGCCAUUCCUGUACUACACACCUUCAUUUACAGUAAGUGCUGUGGGGUUGGCCUGAUGGCUCCGUCAGUAAAGUCAGAUGACCUGAGGAUCUCCAGGAGCCACAUCGUGGAAGAAGAGAACUGACUCCCACAAGUUUUCUGCUGACCUCUGCAGGACUGGGCCAGCCCCACCUGUAACCUUAACUCCUGUCUGUACUGCCUAUUCCAGGAAUGGCAAUCAUGCCUUUGUUUCAAAAAGAUGCUUAGGGGACACUCUCAUGUAUACAUGCAGACAAAACACCAAUGCAAGUAAAACAAAAAUAAAGUUAUUAGGAGAUUUCAAAAAGUUGUUUAUAACCAUCUUUCAACUCUGUCUUUGUUUCAAAAGGUUGUUAUGACUAUGUAUUGCUAUGACUGCCUUGUUAGGACCACCUUGCAAUCAUGCCUUUGUCUCAGAAGGUCACUAUGACUGACUUGUUAUGCUUAUGUUCUGCUCCUGUAACCACACAUAGUUCUUCCCAUUUGGAAACCCCCUACCCUGAGCUAUAAAAACAUUGUCUUUCUCAUGUCCAAUAUUGACCUCUGGAAUCCCGCCUUAGGGGGAGGCAGCCUGAGUACACAAAUAAAAAAGUUUGCUGUAAUUAAUUUGGCUGUGAUGAUUUGAGUCGGUGAUCUUUCUCCUCAAAUAUUUGGGAUUAAUCUUACCCAUACUCAUACUCACAUGCCCACACACAUACACUUAAUUUGAAAAUGAAGUAAAUCUUAAAACAACGUUUUAAAAAGAUGAAUGCUGUCAUCCCACCCUACCAGGGGGAUAGAAGCCAGGAGGAACUGGGAAGCCUUUCCUGAAGGCUAGCCUAAAAUCUGAA
This 1018-nucleotide long non-coding RNA is filed under the name Cricetulus griseus (Chinese hamster). RNAcentral's name for it is "lncRNA (ENSCGRG00015033599.1)". Lineage: Eukaryota; Metazoa; Chordata; Mammalia; Rodentia; Cricetidae. The record is from RNAcentral.